GGCGAGUGGCGGACGGGUGAGGAAUACAUCGGAAUCUGCCCUGUCGUGGGGGAUAACCUCGGGAAAGCGGGACUAAUACCGCAUACGACCUUCGGGUGAAAGAGGGGGAUCGCAAGACCUCUCGCGAUUGGAUGAGCCGAUGUCGGAUUAGCUUGUUGGCGGGGUAAAGGCCCACCAAGGCGACGAUCCGUAGCUGGUCUGAGAGGAUGAUCAGCCACACUGGAACUGAGACACGGUCCAGACUCCUACGGGAGGCAGCAGUGGGGAAUAUUGGACAAUGGGCGCAAGCCUGAUCCAGCCAUGCCGCGUGAGUGAAGAAGGCCUUCGGGUUGUAAAGCUCUUUUGUCCGGAAAGAAAAGCUUCCGAUUAAUACUCGGGAGUCAUGACGGUACCGGAAGAAUAAGCACCGGCUAACUUCGUGCCAGCAGCCGCGGUAAUACGAAGGGUGCAAGCGUUACUCGGAAUUACUGGGCGUAAAGCGUGCGUAGGUGGUUCGUUAAGUCUGAUGUGAAAGCCCUGGGCUCAACCUGGGAAUGGCAUUGGAUACUGGCGGA
This 554-nucleotide ribosomal RNA is filed under the name uncultured Lysobacteraceae bacterium. Its description in RNAcentral is "bacterial SSU rRNA". It matches the Rfam family "Bacterial small subunit ribosomal RNA", at positions 90 to 640 of the family's 1533-position model. Lineage: Bacteria; Pseudomonadati; Pseudomonadota; Gammaproteobacteria; Lysobacterales; Lysobacteraceae. The record is from RNAcentral.